RNAcentral lists this long non-coding RNA (11192 nucleotides) under Solanum tuberosum (potato). RNAcentral's name for it is "long non-coding RNA (STUB_LNC008055)". The record is from RNAcentral. Lineage: Eukaryota; Viridiplantae; Streptophyta; Magnoliopsida; Solanales; Solanaceae.
CAGCAAUGAAAGAGAGAUAUCACGAGCUUCCAAAUCAGCAUCCAACUCCACUCCAGUCAUUGAAAGUUGUUGAGCUUAAGGUGUUUACACCUAACACAUUCCAAGUCUCACGAAUGUCAUGAAAACAAUCUUAAUGAAGACUUCUUCUUCUCUACAACGACAAAUCUGGUGAGUUCCUGAUGAUUUUAAAGCUUUUGAUGUAUAAACCAUCUUCCUGUCCCUUUUGAUAGUCGACUUCAGAUGGACUCAAGCCUCACCAUAGUCUGCAAAUUCCUAAAAGAAACCACCUGGUAAGAUUGAGUUCUUCACGAUCCAUAUCCCUUUAUGUGAUUUCACUUUUAUUGUUGUCAUGCCCUUAUCUACCUGCUAUUACAUAACAAUGUUUCGCCAUCUUCCUCGACCCUCAGCAGAUUGAGCUUAAAGCUGAUACCACUGCUUGAAGUUCAAGAAAAAUACGUACUUUAUUUAUCUGUAAAUGCUCUUCAUACUUGUCACUGCUGCAUCUGUUUGUAAGUUUCAGAGUCUGCGAUGUGACCUAUUUUAUUGCUAUCUUCGUUGUAUGACCCUAAUUAACAAAAAUCUCCAUUUUGAUAUCUUUUUAUCCUGAGAUUAGGAAGUUUUGCUUUUUCUGUAUUGAUGAUGCCUCUAGCUUCCCUUGGUAUAUCUUGAAUAUUUGAAUAUGUUAGUAUUUGAGUCCCUACAAAACAGAAAAUGUGAUUAGUAAAAAAAUCAGCCAACUGAUUUCCUUCUCUGAGUGUAUGUUCCACUGUCACUUCCUUGUCCUUCAUAAGCAUCUUGAUCCUCUUGACUUCCAUCGCUAUGCCCCAAGGGAUUUCCCAGCUUCCAUCCAGAAUAUUCUUCAAAGAUAGAGAAUCAGUUUCAAGUGUAACAGGGAGAAGAUUGUGUUGUACACAAUACUCCAGCCCCAAUCUUAAGGCCACCACUUCUGCCACUAGAUUCGAACCAUCAAAUAAUCUCUUUACUUCAGCAUAAAUUAAGUUCCCUUCUCCAUUCCUGAUACAAAAAGCCCCAGAACUUGGGCCUGGAUUUCCCUUCGAAGUUCCAUCAGAAUUGCAUUUAAAGGACCCCAUCUCUAGAAGCUUCCACACUACUAUUCUGCAACCAAGGGUGGGAAUGUACUCCUCCAAAAAUCUUACUAACCCAGGCCAAGAUGUUGGUAAGUUUUUGAGCCAAGGGUAGUUAUACUUGGCUAACAGAAACAAAUUUAUGUUUAUUUCUAAUUCCAUGCCCAUAUAUGACAUUCUUCCUCCAUGAUUAAUGGUGUUACUCCUCUCCCAAAUCUGCCAUAUUGUAAAUAAAGGCACUGCAUUGAAGAGUAUUUGCAACUUAGGUGUUCUUUCUGCAUUCCACCAUUUCAUUACAGAAUCCCUUAAUUGUAAAAAAGGACCAUUUAUCCCCCUUGCACCUGCAAAAUUACCCCAUAGCCUGUUAGCAAUUGGACACUUAAUAAAUAAAUGUUCAAUUGUUUCCCUCUCAUUUUCAACACAACAUUUACAAAUUAGUUCAUCACAUAUCUGGCUUCUUACAAGCACUUCCCCAAUAGGAAUUCUCUUAAUCCAGAACCUCCAAACCAAGAAGGACACUUUGAAAGGCAUUCCUUUUAUCCACAACUUCUUGUAAUCCCCUAGAACAUCACCUGGUUGUCUUAGUAUUUCCCAAGCAGACUCGCCUGUGAAUUUCCCAAAAGGAUUAAGCAUCCACCAGGGUUUGUCCCAUUCUGUUGACCCUUCUUCAACCAUAAGAUUAUGCUGGAUGUGAUUACUAACCUCCUCUGGAAAUAGCAUAGUUAGUGUUAGAAUAUGAAUAGGUUUAUACAAUCCUAUUAGAAUAGGAAUAGGUUUAUACAAUUCUAUUAGAAUAGGAAUAGUGAUAGAAAUAGAAAUAGGAAUACAAAAUAGUAUCCUACUUGGUAAAUGAUUGUAUUCUAGGGUCUAUAAAUAGGGUCUCAGUGUAAUAAUGUACACAACAAUAAUUCAAUAAUAUUCUUUUCCUAUAUUUCUCACAUGGUAUCAGAGCCUCUACGAUCUUGGUAAACAAUCAAAGAGCUUCCGCUGCCGGCGGGCGGCUAUUAUCCAUAUAUGNNNNNNNNNNNNNNNNNNNNNNNNNNNNNNNNNNNNNNNNNNNNNNNNNNNNNNNNNNNNNNNNNNNNNNNNNNNNNNNNNNNNNNNNNNNNNNNNNNNNNNNNNNNNNNNNNNNNNNNNNNNNNNNNNNNNNNNNNNNNNNNNNNNNNNNNNNNNNNNNNNNNNNNNNNNNNNNNNNNNNNNNNNNNNNNNNNNNNNNNNNNNNNNNNNNNNNNNNNNNNNNNNNNNNNNNNNNNNNNNNNNNNNNNNNNNNNNNNNNNNNNNNNNNNNNNNNNNNNNNNNNNNNNNNNNNNNNNNNNNNNNNNNNNNNNNNNNNNNNNNNNNNNNNNNNNNNNNNNNNNNNNNNNNNNNNNNNNNNNNNNNNNNNNNNNNNNNNNNNNNNNNNNNNNNNNNNNNNNNNNNNNNNNNNNNNNNNNNNNNNNNNNNNNNNCCAUAUUAUUUCUCUUUUUCAAUGGGGGUCGUUCCAUCAAUUCGAACUAUCCUAUAUAAUUUCUAUUUUCUAGUUGGGUCGUGACAUCAUUCCGACCCUACCCAUAUAAUUUUAUUUCUUAGAUUAUGACCACCUUUAGCCAUCAAAUCUAAUACUCCGGCAUAUAAACAUGUUCCAGCCAGUUUUUCGGUGACUUUCUUGUUUAAUAUUGACUCGUCUAUUGAUUCCAACAUGAUCCAUAUACUUUAUACUAGAUUUUGAGCACUUGCAACAACCGUUACAUUGUGAAGAAGUAUAUAUGGAGCAACCACCUAAUUUUGUUGCUCAGGGGGAGUUUAGUAGCCUUGUAUGUUGAUUACGUAAGUCACUCUAUGGUUUGAAACAGUCUUUGCAAGCUUGGUUUGGGAAGUUCCAACACUGUAAUUUUAUCACUCUGUGUUUUAUCGGCAUUAUGCAUCAAAUUCAGUAUUUCAUGAGAAGACCAAGCACAUUGAGAUUGAUUGUCAAUUUUGUGAAGUCGAGUGAUCAACUUGCAGAUAUCUCACCAAGCCCCUCAUCGGUCCUCGUGUUAAUUACAUUUGUAACAAGCUAGGUACAUGAAUUGUAUGCACUAGCUUGAGGGGGAGUGUUAGAAUAUGAAUAGGUUUAUACAAUCCUAUUAGAAUAGGAAUAGGUUUAUACAAUUCUAUUAGAAUAGAAAUAGUGAUAGAAAUAGAAAUAGGAAUACAAAAUAGUAUCCUACUUGGUAAAUGAUUGUAUUCUAGGGUCUAUAAAUAGGGUCUCAGUGUAAUAAUGUACACAACAAUAAUUCAAAUAAUAUUCUUUUCCUAUAUUUCUCACAGUUAGUACAUUAGUAUUCCACCUCCCAUUAUUGACUAAUUGAUUGACAUCUUCAAACUGGUGAGAUCUUCUGUUAGUCACUGGGAGAUAAUAUUGUAGAGCUCCAAGCUUAGUCCAGUUGUCAUACCAAAUUUUAGCAUUCUCACACUUUGGCUCCCACCAAAUUUUUUGAGCAACAUAAUUUCUAGCUUCAAUCAUAUACUUCCACGUCUGAUAACCCCAUUUCCAUUCUACCACCUGAGGAGCAUAUCUUUUGCAAUACUUAUUCCACAUGAAGAUAGUCCACAUUGACUUUUGAGUCCUAAAUAUCCACCAUAGUUUAGCAUGUAAUGCUUUUGAAAUAUCAAACAGUGAUCUAAAGCCUAGACCACCUUCUUCUUUAGGCCUGCAAAUAACAUCCCAAGCAACCCAAUGUUUGUUUCUGCCCACCUUCUUGAAAUUCCAUAGAAAUCUUACAAACAUUCUAUGUAACUCAUGAAUCACACAUUUAGGAGGAUUUAUAGCAUACAAUAGAUAUAUAGGGAUGCUAUUCAGAACAUUAUUUACUAAUACAGAUUUACCUCCAAAAGAAUGGAUCUCCCCUUUCCAGGUUUGCAAUUUGUUAUGUACCUUUUUAAUGAGAUCUGAAUAGUGAUUCUUUCUCUGUCUGGCAUGUCCAAUUGGACACCCUAAGUACAUCAAAGGAAUUUUUCCUCUGGGGAAUCCUAUACAACUUUCCACCUCCUGGAUCACAGUUCUAGCAGUUUUAUCAUGCACAUAAAAUAAACUCUUCUCCUUAUUGAUCUUCUGCCUUGACUGUUGCUCAUACUCCUCCAAAGUUUGCAUCACUAACCUCAAAGACUUCUUAUCUGCAGAAACAAAUAAGAUAGUAUCAUCCGCAUAUGACAAAUGAUUAAUGUUAUCACUCCAUUUUGGCAUCCCAAAUCUCUUGAAGUCCUUAUUCUCAAAUAAAGAGUUUAGGGCUCUAGACAACACUUCUGUAGAUAAAAUAAACAGAGCAUGAUACAAAGGGUCUCCUUGUUUCACACCCCUAGUAGAAUGAAAGAAACCAUAGGAUUGCCCAUUUAUAAGAAUAGACUACCAAUUAUUAGCCAAUAAUCUCCAAAUCAUAUCCACCACUCUAUUAUCAAAUCCCAUUUUUUCCAGCACCUUUAUCAAAUACUUCCAAUCCACUCUAUCAUAAGCUUUGGCCAUAUCCAGCUUAAUUACCACAUUAGCAGGUUUGCCUCUUUUCUUCAUAUUUGUAAUGAUUUCUUGGGCCAAUAAGAUAUUUUCUGUGAUAUUUCUGCCCUUCACAAACCCAGACUGAUUUUUAGACACUAGAGUAGGGAGAUAUGCCUCAAGCCUAUCAUGAAUCAAUCUUGAUAUUACCUUAUUAAGAAAACUACUUAAACUAAUUGGCCUCAUGUCAGAGAAUGACUGAACAAUUUUUUUUUUUUGGCAAUAAGACCAAAUUAGUAUGUGUAAUAGAUUUAGGUAAAGUGCUGCCUGCAAAGAAAGCCAUGAUCAUUUUUACAAUAUCCCAGCAGCUUUGGAAAAUUAUACUUGUUAACCCAUCCGGGCCACUAGCACUUUCUCCAUUUAAUUCAAAAAUUACCCUCUUCACUUCCUUUUCUAAUAGUGCCUUUGUAAUACCCCUAUUCAUCUCCUCAGUAACUAGUGUAGGCACAUGAUUAAGAAGAGACAAGUCUGCAGGGACAUUUUCACUAGAAAAUUGCUUCUAAAAAAAGAGACAGCCUCAACAGCCACCUGCUCAUUCCCUUCUGCCAUUGCCCAUCUUCUUUGAUGAUUCUUGAAAGCGAAAGUCUCUUUGUCCUCCCUUUUACUAGACUAUGGAAAAAUCUAGUAUUUCUGUCUCCUUUCGAGAACCACUGAAUCCCUGCCUUUUGUCUCCAAAACUCCUCUUCAAAGUAUAAAUAUCUCUUCAAUUAAGCCUGAUCACUCUAAAGAACAAUUCUAUUGCUUACAGUAGGAUUUUCUUCAAAAAAUUCUUCUUUGAGCCUCACAAUCUUCUCUCUAAUGAUCAGUUGUUUGAAUAUAUCUCCAAAUCUUUCUUUGCUCCAACAGGCAAGAGCAUACUUAGUAUUCUUCAUUUUCUGCUUAAUAGUAAUAAAAAUAUCUGAAUUCUCCUGAGCAACCCAACUUCUUUUCACCACAUCCUUAAAGUCAGCCUCUUCCACCCAAAAUUUCAAGAAUUUGAAUGGUUUUCUAAUAUGAGGUUGUUGUCCACCAAAAGAGAGUAAUAAUGGGGCAUGAUCUGAUCCUGUUCUAGCUAGGUGCUCCAUUUCCACAUGUACAACCAUGCCCAUGCAUUCAUGAUUUAUCAGUAUUCUGUCCAGCCUUUUAAAGAUGCAUUCACUAUCAGCUCUGCCAUUCCACCAGGUGAAAGGACUACCUUUAAAGUUUAUGUCCAGCAAGUCACAUGAAUUAACACAAAAAGUAAUGUCCUCAACUUCAUUAGGUGUCACUGGAAGCCCCCUGUCUUUUCUUUAUCAGACAAGAUUACAUUGAAAUCACCCCCCAACUAUCCAUGGGAGAUUCAUGUUGUGAGAAAGAGAGUAGAUAUCAUUCCAGAGAGUGAGCCUUUCUUGACUGUCACAUUUGGCAUAAACAAUGGUAGUAAUCAAAGAUUCACUGGAAUUUUGAAAAUUCAAUUGUAAUGUUAGCUGUUGUUCUGUAUCAGAUAACACUCCAACCUGAAUGUGAUCCUGAAUAAACACCCAUAUCUUUCCAUUUAUAUUGUAAUUUGCAUACUGCAUGCCCAACCUUCUCUUAUACUUGUGAAUAUUCCUGGCUUCUUGAAAUGGUUCCAUUAAUGCAAUUAUAGCAAAAUUAUGAUAUUUGUGCAACAUUUGAAUUCUAUGGAAUGAAUGCUGAGUUUUGACAGAUCUCACAUUCCAAAAUAAUGCCUUCAUUAUCAUUUAAAUGUUGCUUUUCCUGACCUCUUAGGAUUCACCCUAAUAGGUUUGUUCUCCCCUUUAGUCCUUUUCUGCUUACAAACAGACCUAAGUGCAUUAAAGAAAAGUGUCUUUUCUCCCCUUUUUUCUGGGCAACAAAAGUGAGAAACAAUAGGAAUUUUAUUUUUAUUUUUUAUUUAAAAUUAUAUUAUUUAAUAUAAUUGAUGGUAAUUAUAAGAGAAAAUGUCUAGAUGCCUAGUGUGGAGGUGUGAGAAGUUCACUACGAAUGGUUUUAGGAGAGGUAAAGAUAGGUCGAAGGAUUAUUUGGGAGAGGUCAUUAGACAUGACAUGACAAGACGUAGUUUCAGUUUACCAAGGAUAUGACCUUAGAUAGAAUGUUGUAGAGGAUACAACUUAGGGUAGUGGGCUAGUAGAUAGCAAUGUGUUGUUGUCACGAUCCAAACUACCUUGUAGAUGUGACAUGAUGAAUAGGAUCCUGAGAGACCCUAGAAAAGCCACUUGACAUAAGACUGUCACUAAGAUAUGAAUAUACUUAAUGCUAUGAAUCAUAAAGAUGAAUAAAAGUCUCAAAAGUACAAAUCUGGACAUGCAGAAAUCAUACAAAGUCUUACAUAAGCCUCUACUAAUCAUAGAUGUGACUAGGACAAAUUCUACCUCACGAAAUAAGCUGAAAACUGAAAUGAACAUAAAAGACCGAUAAUGGUCAUUCCCUCAAACAACGAGGACUCACCAAUCUGCUAGCCAUGCUGAAAUAAUUUGAUCUAACUAUGACGGAAAUGGAGAAACGUCAGACCCCAUAUUAUGAAACAAAAUAUGCAUAACAAAUAUAUGUGUAAGUAUUUUGAAUAUAGUAAAUAUGAGGAACAUGCAUAAGCAUAAACACAAUAAGUUUAAAACAUGAUAAUGCCUGACCAAGUGAAAACAUAACAAUCAGAUAAGCUAAAUUUAUAAAUCGUGGAGUGGUCAAUGCAAUAUGAGAAUCACGACAUAUGUAUAAAAACGUAAACGACGUGAGAAAAUCAUAUCAUUUGUGGGAUGUUUACCAUUUACCGACAUAGACCAUGUGAGCUAUGACAUUGAAUUCACUGUCUUACUCCCACACCGAAAAAGAUGUCCUAUUUGACAAGGUGAGGACCUUAUACUUAAACUUAGGUGGAUCCACUAGCUAAAUUGUCCAAUUGGGAUAUCCUUGAUAAAGUUGCUUAUGAAGUUGAGUUGCCUAAUGACUUAGUGUCAGUACAUCUGAUUUUUCAUGUCUUUUUGUUGAAAAAGUGUGUUAGAGAUCUGACGUUCAUAGUGCCUUUAGAAGGUUUGGGAGUUAAAGAAUAUAUUUCAUAUGAAAAGAUUCUGGUUGAGAUUUUAGAUCGACAAGUUUGGAAAUUAAGAAAUAAGGAAGUUGCUUCCGUGAAAGUUCUUUGGAGGAAUCAAUUAGUUGAGGGUGCUAUUUUGGAGGCCAAAGCUGAUAUGAUGUCCCGAUAUCCUCAUCCCUUUCCUUCCGCUCCUAUUCUAGCUUGAGGUAUUAGUUCCUCAUGGUUCAUUCUUUCGGAUUCAUGCGCUUUAGUCUUUCUCAUGUUUCCAUAUGCAUGCAUGUUCAUGAAAAUGUUUUCUUGGAAAAUAAGUUAAUUUCUAACUUAUUUUUUUUAUGUUUGGUUGGUUAGUGGAAAAAUAAUUUUCAAAAAAUACUUUCUAGUGUUUGAUUGGUGAAUGAAAAACACAUUUUAGAAAAUAUCUUUUAUUAUUUGCUAGAGAGUAAAAAAUACUUUUUAGAAAAAUAGUUUAUGACCUGAAAAUCAACCUCAAUAAUAGAUCAAGGACCUAGCCCCAACACUCAAUUCGAAACCUAACCCCUACUUCCGAUAUCAGACUUGACAUUUAAUUGGAACCUGACCUUGACCAUGACCUAAAUUAGGACAUGAUCCCAAGAUCCAAACUAGGACCUAACCCCGCUAGAGACUCGAUAUUUGAAGUAGAACAUGAUCCCGACAUCUGAACCUGAACUUGAAUCGAGACUCGACUCGACCCAAGACCUACCUACUCUUUACAACAUUCGACUCAAGAUCCAGCUUUUGAAUUAGAAUCCAACCCCGAUACUCAACCCGAGACUCGACCCCCAACUCUGACCUAGGACUUGUGCAACACCCCAAAAAUUUCUAAGUUAAGACCCAAACUAUUCUUCAUUUAUAUGUAAGGUCAUAUUGGGUUAUUCUUAAAUUGUCCAUAUUUGUAAAGGUCAAUUAUUUAGUGUGAGAAUGCAUUUGGAUAUUGUAACACCCCGGAUUUAAAAUAGAGGAUAGCAUGUUAGGACUUCAAGGUGCCACCCCGCAAGGACCAAUUAUGGGCCCAUGAAGAGGCCCCAAGAAAACUGCCUGAGGUAGUGAAUAAUGGCUAGGACCCACGCCCAAUGGAUGGGUCCACAGCUCGUGGCUAGGGGUCCGUAGGUGGGGGAAAAGUCUCUGUCAAUACCACGCCCAACCAGGAUGGACCGUAGGUCCAUCCACGGCCCGUCGGCGGGGUCUCGUGGUUUGCCUUUUUGGACAAUUGAGAAGGUUAGCUUAGGGGCACUUUGGUCCUUUUCGAAUUUAAUUGAAAUUAAGUUGUGUCGUUUUACCCUAGUCUACACCACCUAUAUAAGUACUUUAGACCCCUAAAUUAAGUCAUCCUCUCAAACUCACCAAAAGAAUUGGGUUCCUCCCUCAAAUAAUUCUCUCUCUAGAAAGUUGAAGAAGAAGAAGGGGGUUCAAGCUGGUCAAGUCAAGUAUCCAUUCUUCCAAGCUUUGUGGGCUUUGUAAUCAAGGUAUUAUGUCUUAUUCAUCCAUGGAAUUGUUUCAUCCAUGGAGCCUCCAUGAUUUCCCCAAUUUAGAAGAAGAAUUCCCCAAUUCUAGUUAGGGUUUCUUCUAAUGUUAUGAGUUAUGACCCAAUGGAGUGGAUUAUAGUUGUUUAUGAUUGAAUUGAUAGAAUUACAUGUUUAUAUGAUGAAUUUACAUGUACUCAUGCCUAACCCUUGUUUCUAACCUAGAAUUGAUGAAAUUGGGUUUUAUGCCAUGAAAGCGGAAAUUGAGGAUUUAGAUGUAAUCUUCUAGGAUUGAUGAAAUACAUUAUAGAUGGCUUGAGAUUGUAUUUGUUUUUUCUGAUUGUAUUUGUUUUAUUUGUGUCCUUUGUUUCUUUUUUGCUUUUCAUUUGGGUCACUUGGACCAGUGGACUUGUAUCUAAUUUUGUUUUCAUUAAAUUAGGCCCAAUGGACAAUUUAGUUAAAAAAAAAAGAUUGAAUUAUAUAGAUAUGAAUUGCUUGAGAGUAAAGACAUAAAUAUGAAUUGAAUUAUACUAAAGUAUACAUGAUGAAUUAUGAUUAAUAGUGCUUGAGAUUGAGCCUAUAUGAUGAUAUAUGAUUAGAAUUACUUAAGAAUGAAGCGUGUGAUUAGAAUGUAUUGAGAUCUAGGCAUAUGUGAUGAUUAUGAGAAGUAAUGCUUUGAGAGUAAGGCUUGUAGUUAUGAAUGUUGAUUGCUAGGGCUUUGAGAGUAAAGCUAAUAUGAUGAACUAUGAAUGUUAAGGCUUUGAGAAUGAAGCGUAUGUGAUUGUUGAAUUGUAGAUAGAGUUGUUGUGGAAGGAUUUACCUACUUGACCUAUAUUAUGUAUGUAUGAAUGAAUAAUGUGAAAGGUUUAAUCACAUAGAAUGAUUUCUAGGUUGAAAGGCUUGCUCACCUAAAAUGAAUCUAGACUAAAUGCUAAAUGAAUGAUGAGGCUAGAGGCGACUACCCUUGACCUCCAUAUGUAAACGAUAUGAGGUGAUUUCCUAUAUUCCUUAGAAUUGAACAAGAGGUGACUUCCCACGCUCUUAUAAUGAUGAAUGGGCAUGAAGGUGAGUACCUGUGACCCUUAUGAAAUGAUGUGGAUGUGAAUCCUCAUAUCUUUAAAGCUUGAAUUGGUAAGACAAGACCAUGCAUGGUAGCUUGAGUAGUAUAUCUCAUGGAUAAAAUUGGAUUGAGAAAUCGUACCCUUCCCUGAGUUGCCUGUACUAGCAUAAUAGAAUGCUUGCAUGAUAGCUUGACUUGGUGAGGCCACACCAUUCCAUGAUAGCUUGGAUUGAGCAAUAAUACCCUUCCUUGAGUAGCUUGGACUUGCAUGAGUAAGGUGAUUUCAAUGAUAGCUUGGUCUAGCAUAAUGAGGUGCAUUUCCUUGAUAGCCUUGACUUGGUAAAUCGUAACCAUUCAUGAAUAAUGAUGUAUCUUGGAACUAGUAGAGGGAUACUCUUCCAUAAAUAGUAAGAAUGGCUAAAGAAGGAACAAGUCCCUAAUCAAAGUAGCAUAAUUAUGAUGAAACGAGAUUAGUUCAAGGAAGUAUUGUAAGUAUGUUUCUACAUGAGAUUGAUUGUAUGAUGAUAGCUUAGCUUGGAUUGUUAAUUGAGUUGCUUUCCUCUACAUGUAUGACUAGAGGUGAUGACCCAAGUCUUGAGUAAGAAUAAGUCGAGGUUACUUGAGAAGUGUUCCUUCAUAAUGAUUUAUGUGUAUUGAAUAUGCUUAUGACUUAUGUUGAUGUCUCUUAUGCUUAUAGCCUAUGUCUUAUGUUGACUAAUGCUUAUUUCAUGCUUAUGUUGAUGAUUUAUGCUAGCCAUCAUAUUUAGUACAUUUUUGUACUAACGCAUACUCUUGCUUACAUUCUUAUCAAAUGUAGGGUCCGGCGAUAUUGACUUCCAUCCCCGUGGCUAGGUUCAUAGUAGAGCAAGGAGUGAAGAUUUGGUGAGUCCUCAUAGCAUUGAGGAUUUGAUCACCCUUUCUCUUUUAUGUUUUUAUUUUAAUAUUAGAACUAUUGUAUGGGCUGUGUCCCAAAGAUAUUCAUGUUUUAGAUGGUUCGAGACAAGUGUAAUAGACUUCCGCUCAUUUUAUAAAAGACUUUGAUUGUUUGAAA